RNAcentral lists this long non-coding RNA (2162 nucleotides) under Homo sapiens (human). RNAcentral's name for it is "HSALNT0311383". Lineage: Eukaryota; Metazoa; Chordata; Mammalia; Primates; Hominidae. The record is from RNAcentral.
GAAUCAAGAUGGCCGCCUGGGACCGCUCUCAGCCCCUUCGGCCUCUACCUGAAGAGCCACGCCCCGUCUGCUACACCCAACUGAUUGGUUCCUCAAUCACAGAGAGGAAAGGCAACAUGAGGAUGACGUCAGUUACAAAUAUGGCGUUUUGGACGGGCUCGAUAGUUUGCUUGGCCUCUACUCAAGGAAUGCUGAUGGUAUAGCAAGAAGGUAUUCUGAGCAUUAUAUCAAUGGGGAAGUUCUAGAUCUUUUGCAAAGCAGGAGGCUGGAGUGCAAUGGUGCGAUCUUGGCUCACUGCAACCUCUGCCUCCUGGGUUCAAGUGAUUCUCCUGCCUCAGCCUCCCGAGUAGCUGGGAUUACAGGCGCCCGCCACCUCACCUGGCUAAUUUUUUUGUAUUUUUAGUAGAGAUGGGGUUUCACUGUGUUGGCCAGGCUGGUUUUGAACUCCUGACCUCAAGUGAUCCUCCACCUUGGCCUCCCAAAGUGAUAGGAUUACAGGUGUGAGACACCUUGCCCAGCUGAUGUUUCACUUUCACACCCCAUAUCCAGUCAGACAAAAAAUCUUGUUGGCUCUACCUUUAAAAUUUUAUUAAGAACCUGACUACUCUCCUCCUCUGUUAUAAUAAACCUUGUGCAAGCCACCACUAUCUCUUGUUUGGAUAACUGCAGUAGCCUCUGUGGUGGACACUUCUAAAAUGGCCCCCAGUGAUUUCUGCCUUCUGGUAUUCACACCUUUGCAUAAUCCCUUCCCUUUCAGAAACAGCUGGACUUAGUGACUUUCUUCUAAGGCAUAGACUAUGACAAAAGUUGUGGGAUGUACUUCUGAGAUUAGAGUAUAAAAGACUGUGACACCUCUGUUUGUCUCUCUGUUUUUCUUUCUCUUUCUCUGCCUCCCUCUCUUUUCUGUUUGCUUGCUGUGAUGAAGCAAGCUGCCCUGUUGUGAGCUCUCCGGUGGAGAGCCCCACAUGGCAAGAAAAUGAGAAGCCCCCUGAACAGACAAGAGCUGAGGCCCAGGAUACAAUAUCCUGAAAAAAACUGAAUCCUGCUGACAGUUGCCCAAGUGAAGCUGGAAGUGGAUCUUUCUGCAGUGGAUCCUUGAGAUGACUGUAGCCCUGGCUGACAACUUGAUUGCUGCCUGUGAAGGACCCUGAACCAGAGGACUCAGCGAAAUUGUGCCCAGAUUCCUGACCUACAGAGGCAGUGAGAUAAUAAAUGCUGUUGAGGUCACAAAGUUUUGAGGUAUUUGUUAAUACAGCAAUGGAUACUUAAUACAGCUUCCUACAUGGUCUCCCUCCUUCGACCUUUACACUACAAUCUGUCGUCCACACAGCAGUCAGAGAUCCUUUUAAAACAUAAGUCAGAUCAUCAUGACACUCACCUCCCUGCUAAGUGUCCUGCAAGGCCUUUCACGGUCUGAUCCCCUAUCCUUUCUCUUUCCUCAUCUCCUAUCACUCUUGCCCUUGCAAAUUUUCUUCCAGCACUCUGGCCUCCUUGCUGUUCUUCAGUAUGGCAAGCAACCUGCUGCCCGGAGCCCACACACUGACUGUCCCCUCUCCUAGGACACUCUUCCCUCAAGGGCUCCCAUAUCUUGCCUGCUGGCUCCUGCAUCUUCUUCAAGUCUGCUCAAAUGUCACCUUCUCAGUGAGGCCCAUCCUGGCUAUCCUCUUUCAGUUCUGACAGAAAAUAAUUUAUUGCUUUAUUACAUCAUUAUUUUGUUGUCUUCCCUCCGUCUGUUCCUACUAAAAUUUAAUCUCUGAGAAAGCAGAAAACGUUGUCUUGUUCUUUCCUGUAACCCAAGUGCCUUGAACAUUGCCUCAUUAAUUGCUUGCGCUCAGUAAUAUGUGUUGAAUAAAUGGGUUAAGUAGUUUAUUAAUUGUGAAACUAAAUCCUGUCUGAAAGGUUUGGAGCAGCUUGUUGAAAUAGCAAAUGGAGAUUCUGUGUUUUAAGUUGUGGCUAAGGUAGAAUCAUCCAUGAUGUAUGUGGAGCCAGCUCCUGUGUCCUGGACUUAAACAUCUGUAUCUGACGUGUGGGUAAUUAUAUUGCUAUCCUACACCUUUGACCCAUUCAUCUCGGCUCACCUGUGAUCCAGGCUAUGCUACUAAAGUUGGGUGAGAGAGUCUGCAACACAAGGAAAACAUAGAGCCAUCAUUUAGUAAAUCAAA